Non-coding RNA from Bos taurus (domestic cattle), 45 nucleotides. Lineage: Eukaryota; Metazoa; Chordata; Mammalia; Artiodactyla; Bovidae. The record is from Rfam.
CAAAAAGCUCUUUUCAGAGCAUCUAACAGAUAACUUAAAAAAAAA